Molecule: non-coding RNA, 110 nt
Organism: Acanthosepion pharaonis
Lineage: Eukaryota; Metazoa; Mollusca; Cephalopoda; Sepiida; Sepiidae
Source: the annotation of a GenBank genome assembly
GGCCAUAUCACGUUGAAACACCGGUUCCCGUACUAUCACCGAAGGUAAGCAACAUCGAACCUGGUCAGUACCUAGAUGGGUGACCGUUUGGGAAUAUCAGGUACUGUAAG